This 253-nucleotide ribosomal RNA is filed under the name uncultured bacterium. RNAcentral describes it as "partial 16S ribosomal RNA". It matches the Rfam family "Bacterial small subunit ribosomal RNA", at positions 524 to 776 of the family's 1533-position model. The record is from RNAcentral.
UACGUAGGGGGCUAGCGUUGUCCGGAAUCAUUGGGCGUAAAGAGCGUGUAGGCGGCCCGGUAAGUCCGCUGUAAAAGUCAAAGGCUCAACCUUUGAAUGUCAGUGGAUACUGCCGGGCUAGAGUCCGGAAGAGGCGAGUGGAACUCCUGGUGUAGCGGUGGAAUGCGCAGAUAUCAGGAGGAACACCAAUAGCGAAGGCAGCUCGCUGGGACGUUACUGACACUGAGGCUCGAAAGCGUGGGGAUCAAACAGG